This 608-nucleotide ribosomal RNA is filed under the name uncultured bacterium. RNAcentral describes it as "bacterial SSU rRNA". It matches the Rfam family "Bacterial small subunit ribosomal RNA", at positions 917 to 1526 of the family's 1533-position model. The record is from RNAcentral.
GGGCCCGCACAAGCAGCGGAGCAUGUGGUUUAAUUCGAAGCAACGCGAAGAACCUUACCUGGACUUGACAUCCCCUGAAUAGUGCAGAGAUGCAUGAAGCCCUUCGGGGCAGGGAGACAGGUGGUGCAUGGUUGUCGUCAGCUCGUGUCGUGAGAUGUUAGGUUAGGUCCUGCAACGAGCGCAACCCCUAUCAUUAGUUGCUACCAUUAAGUUGAGCACUCUAGUGAGACUGCCCGGGUUAACCGGGAGGAAGGUGGGGAUGACGUCAAAUCAUCAUGCCCCUUAUGUCCAGGGCUACACACGUGCUACAAUGGUAGGUACAGAGAGAUGCAAGACCGCGAGGUGGAGCUAAACUCAAAAACCUAUCCCAGUUCGGAUUGUAGGCUGCAACUCGCCUACAUGAAGCCGGAGUUGCUAGUAAUCGCGAAUCAGAAUGUCGCGGUGAAUACGUUCCCGGGCCUUGUACACACCGCCCGUCACACCAUGAGAGCUGGCAACACCCGAAGUCCGUGAGGUAACCUGUAAAGGAGCCAGCGGCCGAAGGUGGGGUUAGUGAUUGGGGUGAAGUCGUAACAAGGUAGCCGUAGGAGAACCUGCGGCUGGAUCAC